AGUAAAUAAAAAGGGUGCUCACUGAAGUGGGCUGAGAUAAAGCUAUUGCGCUUUGACCUUCGACCUGAUUUGGAUAAUGCCAACGUAGGGAUAUAAUGACAGCAUACU
Molecule: non-coding RNA, 108 nt
Filed under: Hespellia stercorisuis
Lineage: Bacteria; Bacillati; Bacillota; Clostridia; Lachnospirales; Lachnospiraceae
Also listed under: 1 other name
Description: TPP sequence
Rfam family: TPP riboswitch aptamer (THI element)
About the family: Vitamin B(1) in its active form thiamin pyrophosphate (TPP) is an essential coenzyme that is synthesised by coupling of pyrimidine and thiazole moieties in bacteria.
Source: RNAcentral